RNAcentral lists this non-coding RNA (184 nucleotides) under Chromera velia. The record is from RNAcentral. Lineage: Eukaryota; Chromeraceae.
UCGCUUCAUCCGCACAGGAGACGGAUAUGAUCGAGGAGCAUAAAAAGAGAAGAGAAGAGAUCAAAACAAACAAACAAACACAUCAAUCCAACUCAGGCAGGCAGGCAGGUUCGCCGUUCCGAUGAGUGAACGUUCGGAUGAUCGAGGGUUCCUCCUUCUCUUCGUUCAACUAGUCGAAUGCAUG